RNAcentral lists this ribosomal RNA (279 nucleotides) under uncultured bacterium. Its description in RNAcentral is "partial 16S ribosomal RNA". It matches the Rfam family "Bacterial small subunit ribosomal RNA", at positions 506 to 784 of the family's 1533-position model. The record is from RNAcentral.
UGCCAGCCGCCGCGGUAAUACGGAGGGUGCAAGCGUUGCUCGGAAUCACUGGGCGUAAAGCGUACGCAGGCGGCUCGUUAAGUCGGGUGUGAAAGCCCGGGGCUCAACCCCGGAACUGCAUUCGAAACUGGCGGGCUUGAAUACGGAAGAGGGAAGCGGAAUUCCUGGUGUAGAGGUGAAAUUCGUAGAUAUCAGGAGGAACAUCAGUGGCGAAAGCGGCUUCCUGGUCCGAUAUUGACGCUCAUGUACGAAAGCGUGGGGAGCAAACAGGAUUAGAUA